This 261-nucleotide ribosomal RNA is filed under the name Mesorhizobium sp. RNAcentral's name for it is "partial 16S ribosomal RNA". It matches the Rfam family "Bacterial small subunit ribosomal RNA", at positions 361 to 614 of the family's 1533-position model. The record is from RNAcentral. Lineage: Bacteria; Pseudomonadati; Pseudomonadota; Alphaproteobacteria; Hyphomicrobiales; Phyllobacteriaceae.
AUUUUGGACAAUGGGCGCAAGCCUGAUCCAGCAAUGCCGCGUGUGUGAAGAAGGCCUUCGGGUUGUAAAGCACUUUUGUCCGGAAAGAAAACCGCCUGGCUAAUAUCCGGGCGGGAUGACGGUACCGGAAGAAUAAGCACCGGCUAACUACGUGCCAGCAGCCGCGGUAAUACGUAGGGUGCAAGCGUUAAUCGGAAUUACUGGGCGUAAAGCGUGCGCAGGCGGUUCGCUAAGACAGAUGUGAAAUCCCCGGGCUUAACC